RNAcentral lists this ribosomal RNA (105 nucleotides) under Lysinibacillus sphaericus. Lineage: Bacteria; Bacillati; Bacillota; Bacilli; Caryophanales; Bacillaceae. The record is from RNAcentral. RNAcentral also lists the same sequence under 6 other names.
UGGCAAAGAGGUCACACCCGUUCCCAUACCGAACACGGAAGUUAAGCUCUUUAGCGCCGAUGGUAGUUGGGGGCUUCCCCCUGUGAGAGUAGGACAUCGCUAGGC